This 336-nucleotide small nuclear RNA is filed under the name Anolis carolinensis (green anole). RNAcentral's name for it is "7SK RNA". It matches the Rfam family "7SK RNA". From Rfam's summary of the family: 7SK was discovered as an abundant small nuclear RNA in the mid-70s but a possible function has only recently been suggested. Lineage: Eukaryota; Metazoa; Chordata; Lepidosauria; Squamata; Anolidae. The record is from Rfam by way of RNAcentral.
GGAUGUGAGGGUGAUCUGGCUGCGACAUCUGUCACCCCAUUGAUCGCCAGGCUAGAUUCGGUUGAUCUGGCUGGCUAGAAGGGUAUCCCCUUCCUCCCUCACCGCUCCAUGUGCGUCCCUCCCGAAGCUGCGUGCUCGGUGGAAGAGGAUGACGUUCCAGGUAUAGAAGGAGUGUACCGAGGUCUCCAGUCUUCGGUCCCAAGUAUACAAUAGCUGUGCUCCCCUGCUAGAACCUCCAAACAAGCUCUAUCCCUCAAUACAGAGAACUAUGAAAAUACACCAUCUUAAAUGAAAUGGGCAUACAACUGUAGAUAAACUCUUAGCAAGUACAGAGUU